AAGGAUCAUUAGUGAAUUAAACAUGCUUGGUGUCUUCGCUUCGGCAAGGCCCUUGCUUAACUCACAUCCCAACACCUGUGAACUGUAAGGCGCAUGACUAGGUUCGCCCAAGUCAUCGUCUGCCCUUUUUAACAAACAAUUAAUGUAACAAACGUAGUCUUAUUAUAACCUAAUAAAACUUUCAACAACGGAUCUCUUGGCUCUCGCAUCGAUGAAGAACGCAGCGAAAUGCGAUAAGUAAUGUGAAUUGCAGAAUUCAGUGAAUCAUCGAAUCUUUGAACGCACCUUGCGCUCUUUGGUAUUCCGAAGAGCAUGCCUGUUUGAGUGUCAUGAAAAUAUCAACCUUGACUUGGGUUUUGUGCUCUAGUCUCGGCUUGGAAUUGGGUGCUUGCCGCUUUUACGAGCGGCUCACCUUAAAUGUAUUAGCUGGAUCUGUCUUUGAGACUUGGUUUGACUUGGCGUAAUAAGUAUUUCGCUAAGGACAUUCUUCGGAGUGGCCUCGUUUCUAGGACGCUUGUCCGCUUUCCAAUACAAGUUCCACCUCGUGGACAUGACUUUUUAUUAUCUGGCCUCAAAUCAGGUAGGACUACCCGCUGAACUUAAGCAUAUCAAUAAGCGGAGGAAAAGAAACUAACAAGGAUUCCCCUAGUAACGGCGAGUGAAGCGGGAAAAGCUCAAAUUUGAAAUCUGGCAGCCUCAGGUGUCCGAGUUGUAAUCUAUAGAAACGUUUUCCGCGCUGGCCCAUGUACAAGUCCCUUGGAAUAGGGCGUCAUAGAGGGUGAGAAUCCCGUCCUUGACACGGACCACCAGUGCUUUGUGAUACGUUUUCAACGAGUCGAGUUGUUUGGGAAUGCAGCUCAAAGUGGGUGGUAAAUUCCAUCUAAAGCUAAAUAUUGGCGAGAGACCGAUAGCGAACAAGUACCGUGAGGGAAAGAUGAAAAGCACUUUGGAAAGAGAGUUAAACAGUAUGUGAAAUUGUUGAAAGGGAAACGAUUGAAGUCAGUCGUGUCUAUUGGACUCAGCCGGUUCUGCCGGUGUACUUCCUUUAGAUGGGGUCAACAUCAGUUUUGAUCGCUGGAAAAGGGCGGGAGGAAUGUAGCACUCUCGGGUGAACUUAUAGCCUUCCGUCGUAUACAGUGGUUGGGACUGAGGAACGCAGCAUGCCUUUAUGGCCGGGGUUCGCCCACGUACAUGCUUAGGAUGUUGACAUAAUGGCUUUAAACGACC
This 1227-nucleotide ribosomal RNA is filed under the name uncultured Cryptococcus. RNAcentral's name for it is "eukaryotic LSU rRNA". The stretch from base 567 to 1227 matches the Rfam family "Eukaryotic large subunit ribosomal RNA", at positions 1 to 649 of the family's 3401-position model. The record is from RNAcentral. Lineage: Eukaryota; Fungi; Basidiomycota; Tremellomycetes.